RNAcentral lists this ribosomal RNA (272 nucleotides) under uncultured soil bacterium. RNAcentral describes it as "partial 16S ribosomal RNA". It matches the Rfam family "Bacterial small subunit ribosomal RNA", at positions 26 to 285 of the family's 1533-position model. The record is from RNAcentral.
AGAAUCAACGCUGGCGGCGUGCCUAACACAUGCAAGUCGAACGCGAAAGCCCCGCAAGGGGCAAGUAGAGUGGCAAACGGGUGAGUAACACGUGGGUGACCUGCCUUCGAGCGGGGGAUAACGUCCCGAAAGGGACGCCAAUAGCGCAUAACAUCCUGCCUUUGAAGAGGUGGAGAUCAAAGCUGGGGAUCGCAAGACCCGGCACUUGAAGAGGGGCCCGCGCCUGAUUAGCUAGUUGGUGGGGUAAUGGCCUACCAAGGCAACGAUCAGUA